This 87-nucleotide small nucleolar RNA is filed under the name Urocitellus parryii (Arctic ground squirrel). Its description in RNAcentral is "Small nucleolar RNA SNORA72 (ENSUPAG00010016676.1)". It matches the Rfam family "Small nucleolar RNA SNORA72", at positions 46 to 132 of the family's 132-position model. From Rfam's summary of the family: U72 is a member of the H/ACA class of snoRNAs. The snoRNA gene is located in intron 4 of the ribosomal L30 protein gene in human, mouse and chicken. Lineage: Eukaryota; Metazoa; Chordata; Mammalia; Rodentia; Sciuridae. The record is from Rfam by way of RNAcentral.
AUGUACAUUCACUAUAUAAUGACUAUGCAUGUGUCCUCAGACAUAGUUCUUUCCCUGGGUCAGAUUUUAUACAUGCUGGUGAUAAAA